Molecule: long non-coding RNA, 124 nt
Organism: Melitaea cinxia (Glanville fritillary)
Lineage: Eukaryota; Metazoa; Arthropoda; Insecta; Lepidoptera; Nymphalidae
Exons: 3
Source: RefSeq, a predicted model, not a curated record
UUACCAUUUGAUAUGGUAUUAAUCUUUUUUUAGACUAUUAAGCCUUUUUUGUGCCUAUUUAGACAGUCGAUCUGUAGGAAUAAACUCCAGUCAUGCGUCGGAGCUGACCACACUUUUUAUAAAU